GAUGAAGAACGUAGCGAAAUGCGAUAAGUAAUGUGAAUUGCAGAAUUCAGUGAAUCAUCGAAUCUUUGAACGCACCUUGCGCCUUUUGGUAUUCCGAAAGGCACACCUGUUUGAGCGUCAUGAAUACCUCAAUCUCCAUCUUUUCUUCGGAUUGAUGGGUGACUUGGAUGUUGAGCCCUGCUGGUAUGCUAUAUCAGCUGGCUUUAAACUUAUUAGCCGGCUCUGUACUGGAUCGGUUUGACUCGACGUGAUAAUAUUAUCGUUGAGGAUGCACGUCUCAUGCAGCCGGAAAGUAUCAAAGCAGCUUCUAGCUUGCCUUUAGUGCACUUUUACAUUUUAGACCUCAGAUCAGGUGGGACUACCCGCUGAACUUAAGCAUAUCAUAAGCGGAGGA
RNAcentral lists this unclassified non-coding RNA (394 nucleotides) under soil metagenome. RNAcentral's name for it is "partial contains 5.8S ribosomal RNA, internal transcribed spacer 2, and large subunit ribosomal RNA". The stretch from base 1 to 120 matches the Rfam family "5.8S ribosomal RNA", at positions 35 to 154 of the family's 154-position model. The record is from RNAcentral.